RNAcentral lists this ribosomal RNA (265 nucleotides) under uncultured Leptolinea sp. Its description in RNAcentral is "partial 16S ribosomal RNA". It matches the Rfam family "Bacterial small subunit ribosomal RNA", at positions 1105 to 1382 of the family's 1533-position model. Lineage: Bacteria; Bacillati; Chloroflexota; Anaerolineae; Anaerolineales; Anaerolineaceae. The record is from RNAcentral.
UCGCUGUGUGUUAUAUGUGUCACAUGGGACGUGCCGGCCUUAAGCCGGAGGAAGGUGGGGAGUGAUGUCAAGUCAGCAUGGCCUUUAUGUCCUGGGCUACACACACGCUACAAUGGUCAGCACAAUGGGUCGCUAAGCCGCAAGGUGGAGCCAAUCCUCAAAGUUGGCCUCAGUUCAGAUUGUAGGCUGCAACUCGCCUGCAUGAAGAUGGAGUUGCUAGUAAACGCAGGUCAGCUAUACUGCGUUGAAUACGUUCCCGGGCCUU